GGCUCCGUAGCUCAGCUGAAUAGAGUGUCAGAUUCCGGUUCUGAAGGUCCAGGGUUUGAAUCCCUGCGGAGUCACUA
RNAcentral lists this transfer RNA (77 nucleotides) under Prevotella denticola. RNAcentral describes it as "tRNA-Arg". It matches the Rfam family "tRNA". From Rfam's summary of the family: Transfer RNA (tRNA) molecules are approximately 80 nucleotides in length. Their secondary structure includes four short double-helical elements and three loops (D, anti-codon, and T loops). Lineage: Bacteria; Pseudomonadati; Bacteroidota; Bacteroidia; Bacteroidales; Prevotellaceae. RNAcentral also lists the same sequence under 4 other names. The record is from RNAcentral.